AACCAAUCUACAUAGUUUGGAUCGAUCAACAUAUUUUUAUGGGAUGUAUGCUUUAGAAGCCAAUCUUGGCUGAUACAUAUUAUAUUUCUAGGAUAUAAUUUUAUACUUAUUGGGCAGUUAUAUUACCAUUCAUGUUUAUAUGUCCAUGAAUCAUCCAAGGGAUUAACAAGAUGAUGAUACAUAUUCUUAAAGAGUUGAAAAUAUGAGACAUGUGUCAUUAAUGGUUAAUUUCUAAAUUGCUUCUGGUCAUAGGAUCAUCAUAGGGAUGAUGAUUGAUCCGGAUAGAUCAGUACAC
Molecule: long non-coding RNA, 295 nt
Filed under: Elaeis guineensis (African oil palm)
Lineage: Eukaryota; Viridiplantae; Streptophyta; Magnoliopsida; Arecales; Arecaceae
Description: long non-coding RNA (EGUI_LNC009156)
Source: RNAcentral